Molecule: long non-coding RNA, 344 nt
Organism: Mandrillus leucophaeus (drill)
Lineage: Eukaryota; Metazoa; Chordata; Mammalia; Primates; Cercopithecidae
Exons: 2
Source: RefSeq, a predicted model, not a curated record
GCGUGUCGCUCUUCUUGCUUGUUGUUCUCUAUCACUACGUGGCCGUCAACAAUCCCAAGAAGCAGGAAUGAAAGUGGCGCUUUCUCCGCCCCAGGGUUCCAGGACAUAGUCUGAGGCAAGAUGGAGGGUAUGAGGGGCCUUCACACUUCACUUCAUCCCUUCUACCCAUCACAACAUACAAAGCAACUACACCUGGAUUUUUCCAAACAACUUUUAUUUCCUCAAAGUCUUCCUUAAUCCUAUGGAACAAGAAGCUGCCACUGAAUAGGGCCCAGUAUAGGGGCUUGCUUUUCUACUCCCUCCCCCCAAUAUAAAAAUAUAGAUUUUUUUUUGUGGUCCCAAAA